CUUGCAGAUUAUAUUUUAUUUUAAUAUCUAGUCUUGAUAACUGUAAUCCCGUAGUCACUGAUCUCUCUGUUGUGUUGAUCUGAAAGGUUUGCCUUAUCCAGAUUUUGGUAAGCUGUUUAUUAGGACCAGGGCAGGUCAGCACUGAACUCACGUUCUGUGUUUCUUUUGAACAGCUUUCUUUUUCUAAAUGGCUAAGAUUUUGCUCAUGACCUGCAAGCACUGCACGGGACACCUUCUUUAUGCAUCUCCAUAAUCUCAUCCUGCAGCUUCUCCAGUUAUCCCUUCCUGCAGUAAUCAAAACUGAGGUUACAGUGAAGCUUUAGUCCUGAUGAUUGACAAGAAAGCAAUCUAAGGUGACCUGGCAGCUAAACAUGAGCUUUCCUAGAGGAGAAAGAAAAGAGGUAGAUGUGGAUCUGGCUUGUUCACUUCGUAGUUGAGUGCUGAGACCCAGCAAUAAACACAUUGCUGAACUGCUGACAAACCCUGUGAGCCUGAGAUUGCUUAUAAAAUCUUGGAAUUAUUGAGAGAGCUUUAGUGGAAGAAGUCUGCUUUUGUUUUUCCAAUCCAUCUCAGUUUAAAUUUCUUAGCUGUACUGCUUCCCUUUUAGAAACUCCUUAGAUGGGGUUGUUGGUAUUAUUUUUAAGCAUAAUCUCUUUGAAACUGGCUUUUGCUUGCUUCAUCUGCACUGCUUUACCUUCAGGGCACUGCUGUCUGUUCUCACAAGGUGAAUAUCUGUUUUUCACUGAUACUGUUUCCUACAGAAGACAUUAAGAAAAGCCCUGGUUUUUUCUUGCUCUUGGCUUGAGGAUCCAUGCAAAAUCUCUGGCAGUGUAUACAUGUUGCUCAAUUUAGUUUGAAAGUGAAUGUGCAUUACUAAGUAAGAUUUACAGAGUAUUUGAUUCUGACAUAAAAACAAAAUGCUUUUCAGAUGCUGUGUUUGGAAAUGGAACAUACAUUCCUGUAAUGCCACUGAAGAGAAUCAAGCAGUUUGUUAGUGUGGAUGUGGGGAGUCAUUUUAAAAACAUUACGUAACUCUUUUAGGGAGGGAAAGGAAGAAAAAUUACCCUUUUUUUAGCCUUCAGGGGAGUUUUAUAUACACAAAGUAUAAUUACUCAACUUGAAAUUUAUGCAGGAAGCUAGAAUUAACCACCUUCCUCUCACAAAAAAUACAACAGCGGGAUCAUACAACAAUCACGAGUUUCAACUUAAAAGUGAGAGACCAUGAAUGAAAAGCCAUUAUUUCAUGUGUGCUGUUGCUUAUUAUUCCCAAUUCCCUUCUGCAGGGAUCAUGUUGCUCACCCCGUGCACUCUUCCAGACCCAGAGGCAACACAAGUGUUUUUUGACUGACCUGCAGGUUCUGCUGGGGAAUUUCAGGAACCCUGUCCCUGCUCAUGGGUUCAUGUGCAACAUCACCAACAUAUGUAUGUGGGCAAAUGUCCAUGAAAUCUUACUUUUAAAACAACAAUCUUUUCAAAAUACAGAAAUACCUGAUAUAUAAUUCAGUUGUUGAACUGUUCAGAAUUUGCAUUUCUAUCCAUUUCCCCGUAGAAAAUCCAGCUCUAAUCCUGUGUUUUAACUUCAGAUGUCCGUGAAAAUAUCAACUCUACUUAUGUGCUACCUGGAAACUCCGGUUUGCAUUUUUCAACAGGUGGACGAAACGACCCAGCAAAGACAUAGCACAUUGAGAUCUCUGUAGGUAUAUAAAAGUCUGCCCCUAAUUCGUCAGAACAACCACGUCCUGCACAGAUAGUCCAUAAUCUAAGCCCAUGGAAUGCCACAGGUGGUGGGCAGCCCGUGUACCGGGAGAGGUGAGGCACUUGCACCUCUGCCUGCCCGCGGGCUGUAGCCGGCAGACAUGGCUGUGCAGCACAGCCUUUUAAGGGAGAACAAUCUAUUCUGCCUUUGUCUUCUUCACUAAAUAGGGUCCUGCAGACAGCGACGCGCUCGCUAACUGGAUUUUCACUUCUCCUUGCAGUGCCUGAUGAGGAAAAUCCCCCUGCUCCCACCAUGUAUUGGAGUAUCGGCUCCAGAUAAUAUUUUCUGUGCAUAGUAACUUCCACAGUCUGAGGGAACCUUGUCGGCACGGCGUGAAUUUGUCCACCUUUAAUCAGCGUUCCGGCAGGAGAAAGGCUUCCCACCCCCGUGCAUGGGUUGGUGUGCCGCUGCUGCCGCUCGGCGAAUGGUUUGCUCUCUCCCCAGCUCAGCCAGCACUGCAUCAGAUUGUUUAGGAAGUCCGCGGGGCUGCCGGGUACCAGGAUAAAGUUCUUGGAAAGGCGUCAUUGCAAGAAGACUGACCGUGCACACAGAAACCAUAGUUACAGCCAGUCACUGAUUCGUUUCCUCCUUGAGUGCCAUAAAACAUUUUCAAGAAAUGGAAGGAGAUCAAGGGCAAAGUGCUAAAGCUACCGGUACAGUGGGUGACCUGAGGAAAAGUUGGCAGACCUGGGCGGAGGAUCACAUUGAGUAUCAGAGGAAGAAUCCGUUCAGCAGCGAUGACAGGCUUGCGCCUAAACCUGCGCAUACUCACAGAGGAGAUCCUACCUAUGGGAGACCCCCUGAAGGGUCUCGGACAGAGCAGAGAGGGAAAGAUGCUCACUCACAUGUAGGUAAAGAAGUAGAAGAGCUAUGCCUGAUCAUCAGAAGAACUGGAGAGGUGGGAGAAGAUGGACACGUGAGUGUGACAUUUGGGCAGCUGUUUGAAACAUAUGUGACUAUUUCCAAUAAAGUAGUGGGAAUCUUGUUAAGAGCCAGAAAACAUGGUCUGGUUCAUUUUGAAGGUGAAAUGCUUUGGCAAGGAAAAGAUGAUGAUGUGGUCAUCACUUUACUACAAUAAGGCUUUGUCCUGGAAUGAACUUAGCUGCAUGGUUCCAUUUGGAGAAACAGAUCUAGAUACCAUCUUCACAGGUUUUGAUUACAGAAUUUCAACUCAGCUACCUACUGAGAUGCAGGAGAGGAAAUGGGCGAGAAGGAUAAAGCAUAUUUUUGUAAAAGUGGUAGAGAUUUGGACAGAAAUCACAUCUUAGGAGCUAAUCCAUCACACAGACAUUGGAUUGUCUUUAUUAUCAUCUACUACCAGGUAUAUGACAGUUUUUGAAAUAACUCUGCUAGCUUACUGCUUUUAGGUUACUGAAAGUAUAAAUUACUAACUUGCUAUCCUACAACAUCGAUUCUUGCAUGUUGUGAAAUACUUACUGCAUAGGAGACUGGGAUUUGUAAAACGUGGAAUUGAAAACUCUUGUGGGAAUUCAUAGACUUCUUCAAACAAAGAGCCUGGUAUAUAGCAAAAGUUAAGGUUCAAUUAAACAUGGUUAAAAUGAAUAAAUAGAAGUUAUUUUCAUGAAGUAGAUGGAAAUUCCCAAACUUACAAAAAUAACACAACAAGGAUACUUGAUGGUUCCUAAAUUAGUUGCAUCUUGUUUGUGUUUUGGACAGCUGCACUAGUUCUGGUAUUUAAUAGUCUAAUCUUACAAUCUUCUCCAAACCUUUUGAGUGUCUUGUUCUUUUUCUUCUCUAUCUCACACCAUUUUUACCUGUUCUGUUCUUCUGACACUUUAGAAGAAGUCAACAAAGCUCUUCAGCCUUUUUUGGUGAAUUCAGCUAUACCCCUUCAUAGAAGGUAGGAUGCCACAACGUAAAGAUGCAAAAGUCAACAGAAACUCUGUAUUGGGGCACCUGUGCAUUCAUUAGGAAAAAAAAAAAAAGGCUCUUCUUUCACCAAAAUGUAGCAAUGUUUUUUACAAGAGGAGAGCAGAGAUAGUGUAGUGCCAGAUGCAUAAAUAAAAGUCUAGCGGCACAGUCCCAUACCUCGUUUAUCUGCUUUCAGAGCAUAGUUGUGAGCUCUCCUGACUGUUUAAAAGAAAAAUAAAGGAUUGGGUAAAAAAUAGUUGUAAUAGUGCUAUAAAAAUAAUCAGGAGCUGUAUUUACAAGAGUUCCCACCAACAAAGCUGCGUAACUUGAAAUUUAAAGUUCUAUUUUUUUAUCAGUACAAAUAAAAGCUUCUGUGUGGUGCUAACUACACUACUUGAUGGGUCUUUAAAGUAUAAUACUUUCCUGCAUCAAAAGGAUAUUAAAAUUUAAUAUAAAUUAAGAUUGAUAAAAGUGAUGUGUAAUUUUAUGCUAUUUAUAUAAAAUAACUCCUAUUGCAAAAAGCCUAAAAGAAUGGGGUUCUGUUUUGAUAUUUUCAUCCAAUGGGGAUUUGCAUCAAACUAAGUCUUUUGACUGAAGGAUUUCAUUAUUACUCUGCCUCCUUUUUUUUCUGGUGAAAAGACAAUGAAAAUAGAAAAAAAAGAAAUUAAUGUGCUGAAAUAAGUGUAUCUGGGGAACAGGGGAGUCGUAGAGAAUGGGUUUUAAUUACCAUAUAAUUUUACCACAUUGGAAAAGGGGGAAUAUGUGCUGCACCAGGCACUGCUGCUGUGUUCCCUUAGGUUUCAAACCCACCGCUUCUUUCCAAAUCUACAUCUUGCAGCUGAAAACAAGACAUGUCGUUUGUGAUCUUAACAUAUUUAAGAUGCUUUGUUCUUUUUGGAAAAGCACUUCUUGCCAAAUGACAUGGGCACACCUCAGGGUAUUUCAGCUCCCGUUAGAGGAAUCUUUACAUCUAUUUGGAUUUCAAAACAAAUUGAGCUUUUUAUAGUGCAGCCAUCGAAUUAGUUUUGUUUAACAGUUCUGAAAUCCACUCAGUUCUGCUGAAGUGUUAGCUCAUAACUUGCAGGAAUCAGCAUUAGGCACUUCAAGUGUCACCAGCUGAUUAACGGGAUGGCAGUAUCAGGAAAAAUAAUACAUUGCUAGACAUUGUACAAAUAAUUCAUUCUAAGACACACAUGUGAGGCAGUAUGUCGCCUGAGCACCAUAAGAUGCAAGCCCAGCCCAUGCAAAUUUACUAGAUUUUAAUUAAGGCUGGCUCAAACAAUUAAAUAUCAGUAAUCUAGGCUCUCACUGCCAUGUAAGUGGUAGAUGCUUGAGUACAUCUACAAGCAGUUUAAGUAUACCUCUGAUCAAAACAGAAGCAGAGCAAGCCCUUAAUGACAUGGUCUCACCUACUUUGUAAGCAACUAAAAGAAGUUUGCUCUAUUGUAUUUUUAAUAGAACCAAGGAUUACUAUAUAACGAAACUAUUAUUUAUAGAGGGAUUUUUUGUUUUUAAAUAGUUACAGAGCCAUGUUUCCUGCCUGCCAGCUUUAGAUGAGCAUUCUGGAAAGAGUGACUGAAACCUUUCUGUGUGCCCAUGCAAUGAUUAUAAACACCGAGCUGCCAAACUGGCUCAGCACACAGGUUGACAAAUCCAGUCUCGUGCUUCCAGCAACAGCCAGUAUUGAAAACAAAAAGGACUAAAAGAGAGAUAAUAGAGCUGGUCAGCUUGCCCACUGGUACACUCCAGAAUAAAAAAAUUACUCCUGAAGUCUGUAUAGUCAUGAAUGCAUCGUAUCUAAUGCACAUGACUCAGUUUAGCUACGAGUUUUACACAAUUAUGCUUCUUCAUCUGUGAUGUGAUUUGAUUAACAUCUACCAAGGAAACAGGAAUUUAAACUUCUCAACAUGCAACCUUUAUUUUCAGCAGGCUCCCCUUAGAGUAAAUAGAACAGAAUUCAUUAAAUUAUUUUUGCAGAAAUAGUAGCAUGUGAGGGGUUUUAGUAUUACAGAUUAUUUGGAGCAGUAAGUAAAUGCCAACCUUCUAAAAGGUGUUCUUGCCCUGCUAAGUACCUUUCAGCUCUUUAAAUCUCUCCUAAACUUCACUUUGUGACAGAUUCCCUCAGUGACCUUUCCUUCCACUUGAAGCCUGUAAACUCUGCAUCUGUUUUGGACUGUACGUCAUAUAGGAAUUAGCUGUGGUUUGUCUUGUCAAACACUGAAGGUACUUUCACCAUUUCAAUAAAUGUUGCACAGUAGUUUGAAAUGA
Corvus hawaiiensis (hawaiian crow) is the source of this 5896-nucleotide long non-coding RNA. RefSeq lists it as uncharacterized. The record is from RefSeq and is a predicted model, not a curated record. The transcript is spliced from 2 exons. Lineage: Eukaryota; Metazoa; Chordata; Aves; Passeriformes; Corvidae.